This 465-nucleotide ribosomal RNA is filed under the name uncultured Silanimonas sp. Its description in RNAcentral is "bacterial SSU rRNA". It matches the Rfam family "Bacterial small subunit ribosomal RNA", at positions 338 to 795 of the family's 1533-position model. The record is from RNAcentral. Lineage: Bacteria; Pseudomonadati; Pseudomonadota; Gammaproteobacteria; Lysobacterales; Lysobacteraceae.
CCUACGGGCGGCUGCAGUGGGGAAUAUUGGACAAUGGGGGCAACCCUGAUCCAGCCAUGCCGCGUGUGUGAAGAAGGCCUUCGGGUUGUAAAGCACUUUUGUACGGGAAGAAAUCGUUUGGGUUAAUACCCUGAGCGGAUGACGGUACCGUAAGAAUAAGCACCGGCUAACUUCGUGCCAGCAGCCGCGGUAAUACGAAGGGUGCAAGCGUUACUCGGAAUUACUGGGCGUAAAGCGUGCGUAGGCGGUUUGUUAAGUCAGAUGUGAAAUCCCCGGGCUCAACCUGGGAAUGGCAUUUGAUACUGGCGAGCUAGAGUACGGGAGAGGGUGGUGGAAUUCCCGGUGUAGCGGUGAAAUGCGUAGAGAUCGGGAGGAACAUCUGUGGCGAAGGCGGCCACCUGGACCAGUACUGACGCUGAGGCACGAAAGCGUGGGGAGCAAACAGGAUUAGAUACCCCUGUAGUC